Molecule: long non-coding RNA, 440 nt
Filed under: Ananas comosus (pineapple)
Lineage: Eukaryota; Viridiplantae; Streptophyta; Magnoliopsida; Poales; Bromeliaceae
Description: long non-coding RNA (ACOM_LNC019095)
Source: RNAcentral
ACCGAUAGUAUAGUAGCCUAGUUCUAUAUAUAUAUAUAUAUAUAUAUAUAUAUAUGCAUGUUGUGAACUAAGUUAUUCGAACUAGCACAAAUUUUUAUACUCUAGCAUCUUGAAUUUCAAAAUAAAUGAUGUAAAAUAUCUUAUUUUACAAACCACACAGCCGUAAAAUAAUAUAUUUUACCUUUUAUUUUAAUAUUUCAAAAUAAAUGUUAUCAUGCUAAAAUACUUUUAUAAAAGAUUUUAGAAGUUAAGGGCGGCAAAAUUAUGAUAAUCGAAAUAUUUUAGCUAGAGAUAGAAAGUAAGAAUAAGGGUACAUUUGUAGGAAUAUUUAUGAUAUAAUCAAAUUUAUUGCAGCGUAUUUGUAGGAAUAUUUAUGAUAUAAUCAAAUUUAUUGCAGCGUAUCGAAGUUUAGAGGGGCACGGAUGAAAUUGACCUUCUUG